CCUACGUGGUGCAGCAGUGGGGAAUAUUGCACAAUGGGCGAAAGCCUGAUGCAGCAACGCCGCGUGAAGGAAGAAGGGUUUCGGCUCGUAAACUUCUAUCAACAGGGACGAAAGAAAUGACGGUACCUGAAUAAGAAGCCCCGGCUAACUCCGUGCCAGCAGCCGCGGUCAUACGUAGGGGGCAAGCGUUAUCCGGAAUUACUGGGUGUAAAGGGUGAGUAGGCGGCAUGGUAAGCCAGAUGUGAAAGCCUUGGGCUUAACCCGAGGAUUGCAUUUGGAACUAUCAAGCUAGAGUACAGGAGAGGAAAGCGGAAUUCCUAGUGUAGCGGUGAAAUGCGUAGAUAUUAGGAAGAACACCAGUGGCGAAGGCAUCUCACGAAUCCGCGAUUGACGCUGAUGCACGAAAGCGUGGGUAUCAAACAGGAUUAGAUACCCUAGUAGUC
RNAcentral lists this ribosomal RNA (443 nucleotides) under uncultured bacterium. RNAcentral describes it as "partial 16S ribosomal RNA". It matches the Rfam family "Bacterial small subunit ribosomal RNA", at positions 338 to 795 of the family's 1533-position model. The record is from RNAcentral.